Molecule: long non-coding RNA, 264 nt
Organism: Cucurbita moschata (crookneck pumpkin)
Lineage: Eukaryota; Viridiplantae; Streptophyta; Magnoliopsida; Cucurbitales; Cucurbitaceae
Exons: 3
Source: RefSeq, a predicted model, not a curated record
GGACAUCAAUCGAGGGUAAAGGAAGAGGGGUUGUUGCUGAGGAAUCGUCUGAGGAAGGGGAUACAGCCACGAGCUGAAGCGGACGAUAAUUCGAAGAAAAACGCAAGGAAGAAGAAGAAGCGCGUGCACUACACGCAGGCGCGUGAGGGACGCGACUGGGCGUGCGACUGGCGCGUGGGACAGACACACCGAGGCGCGUGAGGGCGCGUGAGGGCGCGUGAAGCGUCCGUUCGGUUCCCGGUCUACUUGGAAGGAAUUGUGUCG